This is a long non-coding RNA of Siniperca chuatsi (mandarin fish), 989 nucleotides long. RefSeq lists it as uncharacterized. Lineage: Eukaryota; Metazoa; Chordata; Actinopteri; Centrarchiformes; Sinipercidae. The transcript is spliced from 3 exons. The record is from RefSeq and is a predicted model, not a curated record.
UGAGCCUCUGUUUGUGUUCUGGCUAGACAUCGUCUAUAAUGAGCGCUGAUUAGUUAACUUGUUUAAAUGCCUCUGCUAUUUCAGUCUCUGACGCUCAGCCAUCCAUCCAUCCAGGCCCAGCCCCGCUGCCCUCACCCACCCUCCCACAUGGGUGACAUUCUUCAGAGGUGUCUGAGCCAGAGUUAGAGACUACUACUGGGCAAAAAGGAAGCAGUCAUGGAGUUCAAGUUCGACUUCACGUAACAUAUAUUUUAUAGAGCAAAUGAAAAUAUGUGAAGAGGUGGUGGUGGGACUCUACAGUCACCAUGCUGCCUAGCCCUCCUGAAGCCACCUACACCAACUGGACCUCACCCUCAGCCUGUUAUUCUUUCCACUGGGGAGCCUGUUUUCAGGAUCCCACAAACCCCUCGGAGGAUCCUCUGGACGCUGGAGCUGAAGGCUGACAAAUUUGCUGACUUGUUGAAGAAAGGUUCUGGUGAAGAAUAGGUUGCUGCUCAGUUUUUGCAAGCUUGUGUGUGUGUGUGUGUGUGUGUACAUGUAAAUGUCUGAGUAUUAGGGGCAUAAGUGUGCAUCUGUAUGGAGUAUGUGUGUAUGGAUGAGAGUAAGAGAGAGUUGUAAUUUGUCUUUUGUGUGCAUGUGUGGGAGGAUGUGUAUGGGUAUGUGAGUGGGGGCUGGCUGUGUGUGGGUGGUUCAGCUAAGGGUUGAGUGGUUGAGUGAGAUGACAGUAAUAAAUUCAUUCACUUUAGGGCCUGUUGAUUGCAUCAUCAAUCACAUUUAUUGAUGAUGUGUUCGGCUGACAUACCUCUGAGUCCCUGUUGUUCCACUGCAACAACCUGACACAUCCUACACAACAGCGGCUAAACUGAGCAGCGAACAUCUGUCAACUUGUGAUGUAUUUGGCCACGUAAGAACAACUGAUACCACACUGAGAUAUCCAUUACGCCCCCUGGGAUCCUCGCUCCCAAUCUGAAUUAACUCUGAGGUUUCAA